AACGAACGCUGGCGGCAUGCCUAACACAUGCAAGUCGAACGAGACCUUCGGGUCUAGUGGCGCACGGGUGCGUAACGCGUGGGAAUCUGCCCUUGGGUUCGGAAUAACAGUUGGAAACGACUGCUAAUACCGGAUGAUGACGUAAGUCCAAAGAUUUAUCGCCCAAGGAUGAGCCCGCGUAGGAUUAGCUAGUUGGUGAGGUAAAGGCUCACCAAGGCGACGAUCCUUAGCUGGUCUGAGAGGAUGAUCAGCCACACUGGGACUGAGACACGGCCCAGACUCCUACGGGAGGCAGCAGUGGGGAAUAUUGGACAAUGGGCGAAAGCCUGAUCCAGCAAUGCCGCGUGAGUGAUGAAGGCCUUAGGGUUGUAAAGCUCUUUUACCCGGGAUGAUAAUGACAGUACCGGGAGAAUAAGCUCUGGCGAACUCCGU
RNAcentral lists this ribosomal RNA (432 nucleotides) under uncultured bacterium. RNAcentral describes it as "partial 16S ribosomal RNA". It matches the Rfam family "Bacterial small subunit ribosomal RNA", at positions 29 to 506 of the family's 1533-position model. The record is from RNAcentral.